UUGUAUGUACUUGUAAUUUCCAAUAUCUAGUUUACUUUCAUCUGUUCAUCACUAUUCACCCAGUGUCACUUUUCCCCACUUGCCUCUGGGGGAGUGGCUACUGUUUCAGUUGUAGCCGCCUGGGGCCCAA
Sphaeramia orbicularis (orbiculate cardinalfish) is the source of this 130-nucleotide long non-coding RNA. RefSeq lists it as uncharacterized. NCBI's taxonomy places the organism in Eukaryota, Metazoa, Chordata, Actinopteri, Kurtiformes, Apogonidae. The transcript has 3 exons. The record is from RefSeq and is a predicted model, not a curated record.